RNAcentral lists this ribosomal RNA (766 nucleotides) under Hemicriconemoides fujianensis. RNAcentral's name for it is "partial large subunit ribosomal RNA". It matches the Rfam family "Eukaryotic large subunit ribosomal RNA", at positions 340 to 955 of the family's 3401-position model. Lineage: Eukaryota; Metazoa; Nematoda; Chromadorea; Rhabditida; Criconematidae. The record is from RNAcentral.
AACAUCUAGUACCGUGGAGGGAAAGUUGAAAAGCACUUUGAAGAGAGAGUUAAAGAGGACGUGAAACCGGUAGGAUGGAAACGGAUAGAGCUAGCGAACUCGUCUCGCAUUCAGCCUAAGGCCCGUUGCGGCCGGUCGUUGGGUUGCUAAUCGCGCUCAGCGGACGGUUCGGCUGCGGGCUGCGGUGCAUUUGCGGGCGUAUGCGCUGAGACUUGUGGGCCAGCUGCUGGACCCGUGUUCUAGAGGCCGCCCUUGUGGCGGAACCUGGUCGCGGUAACGGUUGUUUGGCCUGCUCGUAGCUUUGGUGCGAAGGACCUUGACUACGCUGCUUUUUCCUUGUGGUGGUAUCGCAUGCGAUGCCCUGCUUGGGGUCUGUGGUUUGGUUCGGUGUUCCCGUGCCGUCUCUCGGUGUAGAAGCUGGUCAUCUCUCCGACCCGUCUUGAAACACGGACCAAGGAGUUUAGCGUAUGCGCGAGUCAUUGGGUGCAAAACCCAUAGGCGCAAUGAAAGUGAAGGCUCGGUCGCCGGGCUUACAUGUGAGUGCUGGGUCUUCGGGCCCGGUACGCAGCAUGGUCCCGUUCCGGUCGCUUGCGACGGAGCGGAGACAGAGCGUAUGCGCUGAGACCCGAAAGAUGGUGAACUAUUCCUGAGCAGGACGAAGCCAGAGGAAACUCUGGUGGAAGUCCGAAGCGAUUCUGACGUGCAAAUCGAUCGUCUGACUUGGGUAUAGGGGCGAAAGACUAAUCGAACCUCUCUAGUAGCACGA